This is a long non-coding RNA of Oncorhynchus keta (chum salmon), 1323 nucleotides long. RefSeq lists it as uncharacterized. The transcript is spliced from 2 exons. NCBI's taxonomy places the organism in Eukaryota, Metazoa, Chordata, Actinopteri, Salmoniformes, Salmonidae. The record is from RefSeq and is a predicted model, not a curated record.
UGCACUCUGACCUCCUGCUAUAGAAACAUAUACAUGUACAUUGUCAAUGUAAAAAUCAAAAAUUCCCUGAUGUGAAAACACAAGUCCAUCUGAAUGACAACAUGCAGACAGGGUCUAAAGUAGUGCACUAUAUAGGGAGUAGGGUGCCAUGGGGCUCUGGUCUAAAGUAGUGCACUAUAUAGGGAGUAGGGUGCCAUGGGGCUCUGGUCUAAAGUAGUGCACUAUAUAGGGAGUAGGGUGCCAUGGGGCUCUGGUCUAAAGUAGUGCACUAUAUAGGGAGUAGGGUGCCAUGGGGCUCUGGUCUAAAGUAGUGCACUAUAUAGGGAGUAGGGUGCCAUGGGGCUCUGGUCUAAAGUAGUGCACUAUAUAUAUGGAAUAGGGUGCCAUGGGGUUCUGGUCUAAAGUAGUGCACUAUGUAGGGAAUAGGGUGCCAUGUGAGAUACAGGUGGUCUGUUUGUAUUUCAGUUGGUGUGUCAGUCUUUACUAGCCAGGAUGCCAGAUAUGUUUGUUGUGACUGUCUGUGUAGAAGCUGGAGACGGGCUGGUGUAACCUGGCAACCCGGCUGGAUCAUUUCCAACAGGGAUGACUAAUCGUCUCUACAAAAAGGUCUGCUGUAUCGCCUGGCAACCGACGAUUUCUAGAAUGGAAAUCCAUACUAGACCGUCUGAUUGGUCCAUCCCAUCGGUUUCUGGGACCAGAGCCAGAACACGUGUGGCUGUAGCUUCAUUUUCAUGCUCUGAUUGGUUAGAGAUGAUCCAAUCGCUGAUGAGGACUUCAUUUUGAUACUCUGAUUGGUUAGAGAUGAUCCAAUCACUGAUGAGGACUUCAUUUUGAUGCUCUGAUUGGUUAGAGAUGAUCCAAUUGCUGAUGAGGACUUCAUUUUGAUGCUCUGAUUGGUUAGAGAUGAUCCAAUUGCUGAUGAGGACUUCAUUUUGAUGCUCUGAUUGGUUAGAGAUGAUCCAAUCGCUGAUGAGGACUUCAUUUUGAUGCUCUGAUUGGUUAGAGAUGAUCCAAUCGUUGAUGACGACUUCAUUUUGAUACUCUGAUUGGUUAGAGAUGAUCCAAUCACUGAUGACGACUUUGUUUUGGUACAACAGCCCUCAUUUUGACAUCGCCACAAACCUACUUCAGCGAUGUCAGCCUCAGACUGAAGUAAGUAGGGAACGUAAAACAGAGGAGGGAUUCGGUUUGUGUCGUCAGGUCGACCUGCUGUUAGUGCCGGCUUUAGUUCCAGCCAAGCGCUACCAGAACCGGACUCAACUGAUCUCUGACAUGCAUAGAUAAUGAUUGAUAAGAGGUUCUGUAAUAAAGACGUUGAUUAGA